This 1338-nucleotide long non-coding RNA is filed under the name Dromaius novaehollandiae (emu). RNAcentral's name for it is "lncRNA (ENSDNVG00000011707.1)". The record is from RNAcentral. Lineage: Eukaryota; Metazoa; Chordata; Aves; Casuariiformes; Dromaiidae.
CCCCGCUGCCCCCCGGGCGGAGGUUGUGCCUCGAAGCGGCCCGCCCUUGUGGUGAGGGACGCGGCGGGUAACGGGGUUUGCCUGCCUCCCCCUCGGGGGACCCUCGGCCCCGCGGGGUGCUGCCGGCUGGGCGCCUCCCGCCUCGGGGCUCCGGCGGGUCUGGUGCCCGGCUCCGUCCUUGGCCUGCCGGCCGCCGCGGGGCAGCGGCGUCGCGCCCGUUGGUCCUCUCCCUCGGCCCCUGCUUCCCCUUCCAUUGCCCGUCUUCGUUCCCACCUUUGUGUCCCGAGCUGACGUAACCCGGGUCAGUUUUGCCGCUUCUUUUGCCAUUCAGGGCAGCAGCGAGAUGACUGCUGUGACCCAAAAGUCUGCUUUCUGUUUUUUUUUUAAUUACUAUUUUUUGGCCGCUGCUUGACAUGACUGAUGGCAGCAGCGUGAGCCAGCCCUCGGCAGAUUCACUUUCCGAAAUGGAAAGCUGUCUGGUUUAAAGACCUCUGACUCAUCAAGGGAACAAACAAUUCGAUCACGUGCGAGGGCUCAGAAACGCCCAAAUGCUGAAGGACCCGGGUGAGUCUGGGGAGGCCUCGGCGGGAGGCGCGACUGGGUCCUUCCAAACUGUCUCGUAGGUGAUGGCUGCCGCCGUGGGGUACGCGCGCCUCGAGGAGAAGCAGCUCCCCAGCCAAGGGGGCACUGCGACCUGGAAGCCCAGGAAAGAAUGUUUACCGAAGAAUAUUCCAAAUAUUGCUGAUAGCGAGGCUCAAGAAAGUGAAUUCUCUGAUAUAUCUCACUAUGAAAAAGAUGUUAGUGGAUCUUCAGUUGAAUCUGCUCACUUCUGCUCUGAUCUGGAAGACUGGGAUGGUGAAGCAUCCAGUGUGCCUGGGGCUGCAGUUUUUCCUGAGCUUCAAACUGCUGCUGAGUAUGAGGUGGAGGAUUGGGAUAAAGAGUUGGAAGAUUCUGAAUUUAAUCCUUAUGUUCUGUAUUCUUCAAACAAGCCAUUAUUUUCCCAGGCUGAAACACCUUUUAUCUUCUGAUUUGGACAGUAUGUGCAAAAAGAAAAAUUAAUCAUGUUGGAGACUCUAUGAAGAAUAAUCACAGGAGAAGAUUUUUGAGGUUAUACUGACUUCUGAGAAUGCAACUUCUGGAUUAAAAAUAAGGUCUCUGAAGUAGGAGUUUUCUGUAAGAGUGAUUCGUGAAGCUUUUCGGAGCUGUAGUAAGUGUGAGUUUUCACUACAUACUGCGCCGCUGAUCUGUUGGGUGGUUCCACAUCUUGAGCAAGAAAUUCUCUUGAGAUCCCUCUGAUAGUUCUACCAAGUUCACAUAUAUGCAGACCUAGUAAAUAUA